Molecule: ribosomal RNA, 1188 nt
Filed under: uncultured Alcanivorax sp.
Lineage: Bacteria; Pseudomonadati; Pseudomonadota; Gammaproteobacteria; Oceanospirillales; Alcanivoracaceae
Description: bacterial SSU rRNA
Rfam family: Bacterial small subunit ribosomal RNA
Source: RNAcentral
ACCUUCGGGCCUCGUGCUAUUGGAUGAGCCUAUGUCUGAUUAGCUUGUUGGUGAGGUAAAGGCUCACCAAGGCGACGAUCAGUAGCUGGUCUGAGAGGAUGAUCAGCCACACCGGGACUGAGACACGGCCCGGACUCCUACGGGAGGCAGCAGUGGGGAAUCUUGGACAAUGGGGGCAACCCUGAUCCAGCCAUGCCGCGUGUGUGAAGAAGGCCUUCGGGUUGUAAAGCACUUUCAGCAGGGAGGAAGGCUUACCCCUAAUACGGGUGAGUACUUGACGUUACCUGCAGAAGAAGCACCGGCUAAUUUCGUGCCAGCAGCCGCGGUAAUACGAAAGGUGCAAGCGUUAAUCGGAAUUACUGGGCGUAAAGCGCGCGUAGGCGGUGUGUUAAGUCGGAUGUGAAAGCCCAGGGCUCAACCUUGGAAUUGCAUCCGAUACUGGCACGCUAGAGUGCAGUAGAGGGAGGUGGAAUUUCCGGUGUAGCGGUGAAAUGCGUAGAGAUGGGAANGNNGGAAACCAGUGGCGAAGGCGGCCUCCUGGACUGACACUGACGCUGAGGUGCGAAAGCGUGGGGAGCAAANAGGANCAGAUACCCUGGUAGUCCACGCUGUAAACGAUGUCUAUUAGGCGUCGGGGUCCUUAGUGACUUUGGUGGCGCAGCUAACGCGAUAAGUAGACCGCCUGGGGAGUACGGCCGCAANCCNCUAAAACUCAAAUGAAUUGACGGGGGCCCGCACAAGCGGUGGAGCAUGUGGUUUAAUUCGAUGCAACGCGAAGAACCUUACCAGGUCUUGACAUCCUCGGAACUUGGCAGAGAUGCCUUGGUGCCUUCGGGAGCCGAGUGACAGGUGCUGCAUGGCCGUCGUCAGCUCGUGUCGUGAGAUGUUGGGUUAAGUCCCGUAACGAGCGCAACCCUUGUCCUUAGUUGCCAGCACGUCAUGGUGGGAACUCUAGGGAGACUGCCGGUGACAAACCGGAGGAAGGUGGGGACGACGUCAGGUCAUCAUGGCCCUUACGACCUGGGCUACACACGUGCUACAAUGGCUGGUACAGAGGGUUGCGAAGUCGCGAGGCGAAGCUAAUCCCUUAAAGCCAGUCGUAGUCCGGAUCGGAGUCUGCAACUCGACUCCGUGAAGUCGGAAUCGCUAGUAAUCGCGGAUCAGAAUGCCGCGGUGAAUACGUUCCCG